This is a long non-coding RNA of Anguilla rostrata (American eel), 891 nucleotides long. RefSeq lists it as uncharacterized. Lineage: Eukaryota; Metazoa; Chordata; Actinopteri; Anguilliformes; Anguillidae. The record is from RefSeq and is a predicted model, not a curated record. The transcript is spliced from 3 exons.
GUGAAUGUAUUUCAUGUCAAAGAGUCUUCAAAAAACCACUAGAGAGGUAAUAUAGAAGACACAGUAAAAAGCAACAUCUUGUUCUAGGCUUGGAUAUUUUCCCUAGCUGAAGUCUAGUGGAUGCGAACUCUGAAUGAUAGUUAUGUCUCAUGGAUUGUGUUUAGGGAUGCUUCUACUCUGCUCAGUUUGGGCAUUGGGUGUUAAUUUUGCGGAUGCCUCUGCAGCCCACAGCCUUGGCUCUACCCAGAGUGGAAGUGACCCCAGCAGCAAUGGGCCAAGAAAAUGUCAGCAUCGACUCAGCUAUACCCCCCAUGCAAAUGGCCUUCCUACCAUCCGCUUUGGAUCUGACGGCAGUGUGCGUUUCCCACGUGUCAACAAUCCUGGCAAGAGAGGAACUUCCUAUAAUGUAUUUGAUUUCGGUCAGAGAAGAUUAAUCACCACUGUCUAUAAGAGAGUUUGUUUACCACAUACCUUCCAUAGGGGCUGUAUCAGUAGCAGAGAUGAUCAUUUCCAAGGUGGAAGUGCCACCAACGGAUAUGCACCCAGGAAUAUUGAACAUCAGAGGCAUUAUUCUCCAAGUGUGGUCAAUUCUGGCCACACUGGAAAUGCUUUUGUCCGCUUUUGGUGUGGACGAGGCAGAAAUGACCCAAGUGGCUAUAAUUGCAAGUAUGUCCCCUGUAUUGUCAGUCCUUCAGCCAUUCAAAUAAGGUCUCUCCACAUUGGGAAUCCACCCAGUGUUGAUUACUCUGGCCUGAGUGCCACCGAUGUAGCAAAUCAUGGACAAAGUGGACAUUCUUAUCGUCACUUUGGGUCUGAAGCUAGUGGAUCUAUUCCCAGAAGCAUGCCUAGGAGUGUUGUUCCUUCCACCAUACACUUUGGGUCUGCCCACAG